Molecule: ribosomal RNA, 1419 nt
Filed under: Klebsiella pneumoniae MGH 79
Lineage: Bacteria; Pseudomonadati; Pseudomonadota; Gammaproteobacteria; Enterobacterales; Enterobacteriaceae
Description: bacterial LSU rRNA
Rfam family: Bacterial large subunit ribosomal RNA
Source: RNAcentral
UCCAGGCAAAUCCGGAUAACCAAGGCUGAGGUGUGAUGACGAGGCACUACGGUGCUGAAGUAACAAAUGCCCUGCUUCCAGGAAAAGCCUCUAAGCAUCAGGUAACAUCAAAUCGUACCCCAAACCGACACAGGUGGUCAGGUAGAGAAUACCAAGGCGCUUGAGAGAACUCGGGUGAAGGAACUAGGCAAAAUGGUGCCGUAACUUCGGGAGAAGGCACGCUGGUGUGUAGGUGAAGUCCCUGCGGAUGGAGCUGAGACCAGUCGAAGAUACCAGCUGGCUGCAACUGUUUAUUAAAAACACAGCACUGUGCAAACACGAAAGUGGACGUAUACGGUGUGACGCCUGCCCGGUGCCGGAAGGUUAAUUGAUGGGGUUAUCCGUAAGGAGAAGCUCUUGAUCGAAGCCCCGGUAAACGGCGGCCGUAACUAUAACGGUCCUAAGGUAGCGAAAUUCCUUGUCGGGUAAGUUCCGACCUGCACGAAUGGCGUAAUGAUGGCCAGGCUGUCUCCACCCGAGACUCAGUGAAAUUGAACUCGCUGUGAAGAUGCAGUGUACCCGCGGCAAGACGGAAAGACCCCGUGAACCUUUACUAUAGCUUGACACUGAACAUUGAGCCUUGAUGUGUAGGAUAGGUGGGAGGCUUUGAAGCGUGGACGCCAGUCUGCGUGGAGCCAACCUUGAAAUACCACCCUUUAAUGUUUGAUGUUCUAACGUUGGCCCCUGACCGGGGUUGCGGACAGUGUCUGGUGGGUAGUUUGACUGGGGCGGUCUCCUCCCAAAGCGUAACGGAGGAGCACGAAGGUUAGCUAAUCCUGGUCGGACAUCAGGAGGUUAGUGCAAUGGCAUAAGCUAGCUUGACUGCGAGCGUGACGGCGCGAGCAGGUGCGAAAGCAGGUCAUAGUGAUCCGGUGGUUCUGAAUGGAAGGGCCAUCGCUCAACGGAUAAAAGGUACUCCGGGGAUAACAGGCUGAUACCGCCCAAGAGUUCAUAUCGACGGCGGUGUUUGGCACCUCGAUGUCGGCUCAUCACAUCCUGGGGCUGAAGUAGGUCCCAAGGGUAUGGCUGUUCGCCAUUUAAAGUGGUACGCGAGCUGGGUUUAGAACGUCGUGAGACAGUUCGGUCCCUAUCUGCCGUGGGCGCUGGAGAAUUGAGGGGGGCUGCUCCUAGUACGAGAGGACCGGAGUGGACGCAUCACUGGUGUUCGGGUUGUCAUGCCAAUGGCACUGCCCGGUAGCUAAAUGCGGAAGAGAUAAGUGCUGAAAGCAUCUAAGCACGAAACUUGCCCCGAGAUGAGUUCUCCCUGAGACUUUAAGUCUCCUGAAGGAACGUUAAAGACGAUGACGUUGAUAGGCCGGGUGUGUAAGCGCAGCGAUGCGUUGAGCUAACCGGUACUAAUGAACCGUGAGGCUUAACCUU